AAACGUUGCAAGUUCCCGAAAGGAUUCGCAUAUAAACUUAUGAAAAGCGAAGAUGCCUUGUAACCGAUACUUAAACUAGGGGGAAUUAUUUUG
RNAcentral lists this small RNA (93 nucleotides) under Enterococcus sulfureus. Its description in RNAcentral is "SAM-III sequence". It matches the Rfam family "SAM-III riboswitch aptamer (SMK box)". Lineage: Bacteria; Bacillati; Bacillota; Bacilli; Lactobacillales; Enterococcaceae. RNAcentral also lists the same sequence under 1 other name. The record is from RNAcentral.